Molecule: long non-coding RNA, 3249 nt
Filed under: Mytilus galloprovincialis (Mediterranean mussel)
Lineage: Eukaryota; Metazoa; Mollusca; Bivalvia; Mytilida; Mytilidae
Source: RNAcentral
CUCAAAGUCCAACUGAAAAUAUGAGUUUGGCGUUAUGACGUCGAAGUUAGGCGUCAAAGAUAAAAAUUAUAAUAGCCUUUCAAGACGUCAUAAUUAUUUGGACUAGGAUAUCGAAGUUAGGCGUCAAAGAAAAAAAUUAUAAUAGCCUUUCAAGACGUCAUAAUUAUUUGGACUAGGAUAUUUUAUAGCAGAAGACUCAUUGUGAUGGAAAAGUUUCAGAGAUUGUACUGUCUGAUGCUCCUAUCGUUCGGUAGGUAAAUACAUUAGCCCUGUUCGUUUAAAAUGUAAAAUGUUAUUUUUCUCUCGAAAACGUACCGUACGUAAAUAAAUUGGAGCUUUUCAUAGAACAUACUUGAGAACUUCGUUGAAAUGAUCCCAAAAUUUUAGCUUGAUCUGGCUUUCUAAUGCAUAGCGCGAACCAGGCAAACUAUAGAUGUUGAUGCUUUUUAUGGAAUUAGUCUACAACGUCACUUUGUGCUUUGUAACGUUUCCUCAUUUGACGAUUUGUGUAAUUCCGUGAAAAUGAAAGGCAUUUGUGUUGCCCAAAAUGUAAACAAUCAUAGCAAAAAGUAUGGCAGCCCGGCACCAAAGAAGCCGUGUAUGUUUGAUAGUUAUUACUUUGAGAUUGUUAAAAGUAAUAAAGAAACAUCCACGCCAAAUUAAAACAGCAUACUCUAUGUAAGAGGGGGAUAGGACCUUUAUCAGGACUCCGGGAUCGGGUGUUUUUAAGCUCGGGAUUUUGGGAUUGACCCUUUCGGGAUCCGGGAAUUCUUUUUUUCGAAUUUCGGGACGUCGAUUUACUUUAUUUAAAUUCGGGACCUCGGAUUUCGUGUUUUAAGCCCGGGAUUUCGGGAUCAGGACCCCUCCUAUCCCCCCUCUUGUAAUGUCUGAUUGAAACGCAGACCCGAGUUGUUUGUCAGACUGUCUAUUUAUAUCACAAGAAACUAUAGUCUAUUUCUCUUUUAACUUUCACUUUACUGUCUUUAGACUCGGGGAUGUGUGCUAUUUUACGAGAACCACCAAAGAGUUGAGGCAGUGAUUGUUGGACCUCACACUACAACACACAGCAGUUAAAUAUGCCACCUUCAAUUUUUUGCUAUAUGAUUCAGAUAGAACUACCAACAAAAAAUUUUAAAAAAAAUUUUUGAAGGCAUUUUUUUUUUUGCUUCAAGAAAACAGUAUCAUCAGACUCAGAUUUAACACAGCUGUAUUUGUUUAACAAAUUCGUUUUCAUGAAGUGUUCUCCUUUUUGAUAAUAUAAACAAGUAUUUGUUUGUCCUUGUAAAUAUUAGGUGAAUUGCUAAGAUACAGAAUAUAUUUUAAAAACAUGUGCACUUUUAAAAAGAGACCACAAAAACUUUUUUAUUACAUAUAUGCUAUAAUUAAUCUUGAGAUAAAAUUAUUAUAAUUUCUGUUAAGAUUAAAUACCAGCCACUGUACAAAAUGCAUGAGAAUUAAGAAAAUAUGAUGAUGCUAUUUGAUUUUUUAAUUAUUUGUAAGUAAUACUACAUUGUAUGCUUUAUAUUUAUAUUUUUGUCAAUACAUGUAUCAAAUAUUUACUAUAUUAAAAGCAAGUCCCCGAGUGCAAAAAACACAACAUCUAAAGGUGUCCAAUUUUUAAUUAUUCUGUCACAUGUGUGAUUUAUGUCAAUGGUUAAUUGGUGUUUAAUGCCACUUUCAGCAUUAUGUACUAUUUCGUAGUAGUUGGUUUUUAUUGGUUGAGUGAGAAAAUAAUGCUUGAAGAGAACUAAGAUCCAAGAUAGUAAAUCUGACAGGCUAGCUAAGUCAAUUAAGAUUGUAGUCAAACUGAAAGACUAAGUGUGUGCUUCGAAAUUCACAACCUUUGUGUUGACAGGAUAGUGAUAGAGAAGUUAUUUACUUAAGACUAUUUAGCCACUGAAACCAAUUUCAAUGAAACAGUAACACAACAAUGUGACAUAGACAAAAAUACAGUCUUUAUCUACAUGUAUAGCACAAGUUAAAUAAAAAAUUGCUGAGUUUCCGUUUUCUUACUUUAGUUUGCUUCAACACGUUCAAACAAAUGUUAUAAAACGAAUAGGUACACAAUGCUUAUAACCACAAAAUACAGAUCAUGUUUAAAAUUGGGUGGUGUCACUUUUACCGUCUAUGACUUUAUAUGUUCCUUUAUAAAUGAAGCAAUUACUUAAUCUGUUGGUUACUUUUCUUCCUCUUGUUUGCUUCAACUAAAUGUUAUGAAAUUUAUACACAAUGCUUAUAAUUACAUAAGGGCCUUAAUGAAAUUAAUCCUGCAUCUGUAUGCGGAAGUUGACUGCCUCUGGUGCAUAUUGUUACAGGCAGGGUAUUUGCGGCCCCAAAACACAUUCUCAAUUUAAUUAAACCAUGUUCAUUUACAAGAAUAGCCUAGUAUAGAAAAACCUCCUGUCUGAAAUCGCCUUCAAUAUAUUUUUUUAAAUCAACUUUGAAUUAAUUUGAACAAUUAACUAAAUUGAAGAAGCGGGGCUGUUAUGUUUACAAUGUAUACGGAUCACCAAUUUGAAAAAAAAUAUUCUGAAUGCUCAGAUUUUUUUCUUUUUCUUUCCCCCAUUUCCAUUACAAUAAGGUAGUGUUAUAAAUAAAAAAAUAAAAAUAAUCUGAUUAAUCGUGUCAAAAAACUAAAUAAAUUUGUUUGUGCUUUGCACGUACAAUAUUUUUGACUAAGAAGAGAAAACCAAGAAUUUAUAUGCCCCACUUACGAUAGUAGAGGGGUAUUAUGUUUUCUGGUCUGAUCGUCCGUUUGUAAGAUUGCUGUGCUGUCCCUUUUCAGGUUAAAGUUUUUGGUCAAGGUAGUUUUUGAUGAAAUUGAAGUCCAAUCAAUUUGAAAUAUAGUUCACAUGUUCCCUAUGAUAUGAUCUUUCUAAUUUUAAUGCCAAAUUAGAUGUUUGACCCCAAUUUCACGGUCCACUCACUGAACAUACAUGUAGAAAAUGAUAGUGUGAGUGAGGCAUCCAUGUACUUAUUGACACAUUCUUGUUAGAUUUGUAUUGUUUAGUUGCUUCAUUACUGAUGUAUUAUAUCAUUUAACCCAUCAUUGGAUUUUUUUUCAUAUUUUUAUAUGGUUAUUCUCUUUUUUGUGACCUGUUAUGAGAACACACACAAUCAUGCACAUAAAAAAACCUCAUAUACAUUUUUGAAAGUAUUUGAUACAUUUGAAUUAUUUCAAUUGAGUAUUUUUUUUAUUUUUGAAGUAGAAUGGAGAAUUAUCCUUGCCUAGUUGACCAGGCUCUACUG